UCACAAAUGCAGCAUGCAGGUUCUCAUCACUGAUGAAAAUGCAUAGCUCAUGGUGCCCUCAACUACAUCUGAAAAAUGGCACACGUCUUAGCGACAUCUCUGCAAUUGUUCUUGGAGCAGAGCCUUUUCAGGAGUGACAGGAGCAGAUUUGCAGUGAAGAGCUGCUAAUGCAGAAGGAUCCGUUCCGGAUGUUCUCCUCCCAUCUGUUAUACAGUGCAGCAGCUCUUCUGCAUCUCCUGGGACGAUGCAUGAGGAGUCAGAAAAAUUGUGGUCCUUGUGCUGGGAAUGCUGUGACAAGAAGUUUGAAGAUUGAAUUCCCACUUAAAGUCUCUACUAUACUUUUCUCAGAAUAGGAGAUAUUCCCUCUAUCCAAAGUGAGAAGACUUUUGCAGAAUUCAUGAAGAUGUUGUCAAAGAACAAUAUUACACCACGUGGACUCAAACAUUUCUCUGGAAAGAAAGACAUCUGAUUUCAGUGGGACUUGAUGUUGCAUAAGAUGUCAUUCAACAUGAAUAAAGGUGUCAAAAUAUGGCCUGGCGUCAUUAUCCACAUCUCUUAAACCUCCACAAUGAGAUACACAGAUUAAUGGCUAACACCUGGGAUGACAUUCCUAUCUUAACCCAUGCAGUCUGUCCAAAAGUUAGUAAUAACAUGUGCAUGGCAUGUCACCGGACUCUGAAAUACAGUCACAGUAGUUUGAAUUUUCAGAACAAAUAUCUGCCUUUGCUCUAUUUUAUUCCCCUUGUGGUUUAAAGCCAGUUCUUUAAAAUAUUGUUUAAUAUGUUUUUAGAGAUAUAAUAAAAAUAUAUUGACUGAGAGGACAAAUGUCAAUUCUUUCCUUAGCAUGUUCUCUCUGUUAAAAGUUUGUAUAAGAAUGCUUUUUCUUUUCAAUCUCACAUUUAAAAACGUAAUCUCAGUUAUGCUGGAAGCCAUCAAACAGCUUUCUCUGUUUAAUGGGAGUUCCUUCUUUAAUUAUACCCAUCAACAGAUUCUAUGAAGUAUUUUGGGAUGCCUUGAAUAUAAAAACAUUACAUCGAGCUGGAUUCUAUGUUUAUGCCGUCAUGUACCAUCUUUCACACCAGAUGAAGUAAUAAUUACAGCAAAGUCUAACUUAAAUAUAUAAAACAUGAAAUAUGAAUAAUAAAGGAUAACUAUGUUAUAUAAAUUUGAAUCCUAUAGACAUAGGGCAUGAGAUAAGAAUGUGUUUUACUGAUUACAUAAAGUUCUCCUGCACUAUGCAAUUCCACUCAUAAAGUAUUUCUGAAUAUUUUAAUAGAAAAUAUAUGAAAUUAGUCAUGAUUCCUUUUGUACUUCAAAGGCUGUCAUAAUAGUCUCUACAGCAAAUUUUCCAUGUUUACACUAUUAUUUAAUGCAGCACAAGUAAGUAUGGAACACAGCAUGAUCAUGUCCCUAAUUCAACAGCUUGGGCUUCCCAUUGCAUAGCUGUACUGAUUGUUGAAAAAGCAAGAGGCCACCCAGUGGCAAAUUUUGUAUAAGUUAAUUCUGACUGUCCAAAAUUAUUUCUGAAGAGAACAGAGACAAUGACUUCCACUUAAGAAUAAGAUUUUUGUUAGCUCAGAAAGCUUAGAAAUCCCCAAAAGAAAAAGCACAUUUGAAAUUAUGUCUUUUAUUCAAUAAUAUAACCUAAAUACAAGGGCUUGUAAUUUGAAAAGCUCUCACGUCCAAGGCUACUCCAUAAGUAAUGCCUCUUAUUUUAUUAUGUCAGCCCAUGGCAUCAGAGGCAGAUGUUGGUGGUAUUCAAUACAGGUUGAACCUUCAUACCAAUAUUCCAUUACAUUUUGUUGCUGUGUGACAGAUGACAGCAGAGGGGCAGUCUGACACAAUAUCAUCUGAUGUGGAAGUGUAUAUGAAGCAACGGUGUCACUGAAUUACUCUAUGCAGGAAAAAUAGCACUCAUUGAUAUUAAUCGAUACUUGCCAAGUAUUUGUGGAGAUCAAACAGUGGAUGUGAAGCACAGUGAGACAGUGGGUGCUGUGUUUCAGCAGUGGCAACAGUGACAUGAAGGACAAGUCACUUUCCAGAUGGCCACACACAGCUGUCACACCACAAAAUGAAGAGUGUCUUGACCACCUCAUUCUUGCAAAUUUGUGGGUUAUGACCAGGGAGCUGUGUACAGAGCUGAAUACUGGGUUCAAUGUGUAGCCAGCAAUGGUGGCAAUGUUAGUAUAUCACAAAGUUUGCAGUGGGUAGAUCCACGAAUGCUCACAAAGGAACAGAAAGAACACUGUAUGCAAGUUUGUCAGAACCUAUUGAACCAAUAUGAGGCUGAAGUGACAGUUUCCUGGAUCACAUCGUUACCAGUGACAACACAUAGAAUCACCACUACGAGCCGGAGUCAAAAUGGCAGACUAUGGAGUGGCAACAUGUGAAUUCCCCAGUGAAGAAAAGUUCAAGACACGGCUCUCAGUGGAUAAAAUGAUGUGCACUGCCUUUUGGGAUAGGAAAGGGGUAAUCCUUCUGGAUUUCCUGGAACCUGGACAAUGUUAUUGUGCUUUUUGUAUCUGUUGUAUCUGUUUCAUGGUGGCAUUACUUUUGGAGCAACCUAUCUAGAACUGGGCUAUACAUCCAGGAAACUUAUUUCUGCAUUUAGGUACAGAUUGAGGUUUUUUAGGAAAAUGAAUAAUUUUUAGGAUAGUAGAACAAGAAAAAGGCAUAUUAUCAUUAACCUAGAGUUUAGUAGCUGUCUGGAAUAAUUUACUUAAAGAUUAAAUGUACAAUCCUUGACCUUCAACAUAAAUUGAAGAAGUUUAAGUUCAUAACUUUGAGUUCAUAGUUUGCAUGAUGUCCUAAGCAGAUAGCUACCAGGCACACUGAGGCAAAGGAAAACUUUAAUGGAACUAUAUUGCAAAAACAAAUGCAGAGGAACAAGUAAACAAUACAGUGAAUAUGACUAGUAAUGAGGAUGCUCAUUUGGUAGGAAAGUACUAUAUAUUUGAAGUUGCUGGUGCUGAAGAAGACAAGUCUUUCAUUUUGUAGAUUGGAGUCCGGGUUAUUAACUUGUUCAAAAGUUAGAAAAUGACAUCAGCUUUUCUAGUUGCAGUUUUGAUAGAAGUGCUCAUCACUGCCGCGAUUACGAAGGCAGUGCACUGAAUUUGCCCAGCAGAACACACUUUUCAGAGCAUAGAAAAUGGUCUUAAGGUGUGAAAUUGUUGCCAUUAGCUCAGGCAACUGAGGCUGUGCUACUGGGUGUAUACAUUAGCAGAAUUUGAACAACUUUGAUGGUAAAAGUUUAGGUACCAAGAGUAUCUCAUGGAUUGAAAUGGACUUUAGGGGAUUUACGGAUCAGGUUGAAGGUUCCAAGUGUUCUUAUGCUGCACUUGAGAGUGUUUAUCAGGAUCACUGUCACAAAGCCAAAUAAAUAUUUUAAAAAAUUAUGAAAAAUCUCAGAUUGAAAGAAAAAAAUGAGCUUAACUUUGAAGAAAUCCACAUUUUGAAACAUUUUGUCAUGGCAUAACUUUAUCGAAGGAGUAUAACUCAUCUAAAUGCACUGAGAUGCUUCCUUCUUUACAUUAGUUUAAAAUGUGAGAGAAUUGUAGUCACGUUCUGCAAGAUUAUCCCUUUUCAAAUGUGCCAAGAUAUACACAACAAGCUUAACUGUGUUUUAAUGAGCAUUUUUUAAUAAAUAUGUGCAUAUGUGUACUAUACAAUACAAUACUUAUACAACACUUAUAUGUAUGUGUGUAUGUGUGCCGACACAGUUAAAACUGUAAGCAAAUAGGUAUAUUUAGUAAACAGUCGUGUUGGCAGUAAAGUUGCAAAUGUCAUAGACAAAUGAAUGUCCUGUAUAAUUACAAAAUAUAAGCAACUCCAUAAAAAGAAAAGGAAAAAAACAGAUAAAUUCUCACUAUUUUUGAAAUGAGAUGUAAGUAUAAUUUGCUGAAUGUUUUUGAUGUUGACAACAAACAAUUGAAAUUGCUUUUCAAAUGAACCUCAUAGCACAAAAGAAAAAAACAAACAAAAAAACCAAACCAAACCAAAACAACAACAAAAAAACCAUGAUCUUAAGACACAGAUUUCAGUGGAAUCUAGUAAAAAGCCUGAGAUACACUGGCAACUCAAUACCUUUAAUUUGGUGGGAAAGUAACUCAAGACAGUCCUCACUUCUGCUCUAAUCCAUUAGUCACAGUAGUGACAGAAGGGAAUAUUUUGAGUAUCUGCGAUCAAUCCUGAUCACUAGUCCAGCUAGCUGGGAUCACUGAUUGGUUAGGUUAUUUUUCAAAUGUUCGGAUUCUUUCUGCUUUGUAUGAAUUCCUUUUUUUUAUAUGACUGAAGAAUUAAAAAGAUAGAUUAAUUAAUGCAGUUGAGAUUCAGAAUGAGCUUUUGAUGUAAAGAAAAUGAUCAUGAAGAUAUGAGGUCUUGUUUUAGAAUCACAGAAUCAUAGAAUGCCUUGGGUUUUACAAGUUGUUCUUUCACUGUUCCUCAAAUGGCAUUCUGUGAGUGAUUGCAGAAGAAAAUCAUUAAAAGGUUGCGCAUCAGCCAGGACACUUUCUGCCCCUUCUCUUUGAUUCAGACAUACACUGGCAAACAAUUCAAAGAUAACUCUUGGGAGGUGCAUGUUACAGUGAUGGAUCUCUGGAGAGGAAAAGAGAAAAAUGAAGGUUGAAAAAAGGGGGUGAGAAACACAAAGAACCAAAAAAAAAUUCAGGUUGCCUCUGCUGUCAGUCAAAUGAAAGAGAAGUGGCAAUUUGAUCUAUGGCAAGCUCAGUGCCAAAGAUGAACAAAUAUAAGUUACCUUUGUGACAGAAAAAAUCCACACAUUAAUUUUGAUUCACACAGUUGUUUGGGUUUUAUUGCUUGUUUUAUAGACAACAGCUUUCUUCCUGUUCUAGUGAUAUUCUGAUGUACCAGCAUAACUUUUUGAUCACACAAAGUGCAUACAUUUCAUGUAUUAUAUCCAAAUUGUGCUCUGAAAUUUUUAAAUCUGAGACAUGAGAAGCAAAUAAGAAAAUUUUCCAUUCAUUUAGGAACUAUUAAAGGACAUAAUUUCUUAAUGCCGCAAAAGGCCUAUUUAAUUUCCACUACAACUACCACUAAUUAGUGUUCUGCAAUACUUGAUAUGACUUCAGAGAAAAAAAAGUUUCCACAAACGAGCUUAUUAAAAUCGUGAUGCUAGCUCACUUCAAACUGCUGCCUAUAUGUGUAUGUUGGGAGUGCCUGUGGGAUGAGAGGGGAAAAGUUGCAGUAAAUGCCAUCAAAAGAAGUAGAUGCAUCAAAGAAAACACAUUUGUCUUCAAAAGGGUGAGUUCAUAACACAGGUUCUACAACUUCCAUGGCUGGAAAUGACACAAGUAGGAAAGAUCUCUUGCUUCACCACUGAUAAUUAGAUGACAUUUCCUACGUAAAUUUCCUGUGGUGACAGGGAAAACAUUAUUUCAAGCUCUAUUCUUGGGAUUACCCGACUUAAAUGCAUAAAACUAUUUUUACCUGUGACUGCACAUAGCAAAUCUUGCAUAAUCUUCACCACAAAAUGUUUUAUGCUGG
This is a long non-coding RNA of Numida meleagris (helmeted guineafowl), 5502 nucleotides long. RefSeq lists it as uncharacterized. The transcript is spliced from 5 exons. The record is from RefSeq and is a predicted model, not a curated record. Lineage: Eukaryota; Metazoa; Chordata; Aves; Galliformes; Numididae.